ACAUCGGCCCUUUUCAGGGCCAACAUAUGUUUAAAACGUGGAAGUCU
This is a non-coding RNA of Lasius niger, 47 nucleotides long. The record is from Rfam. NCBI's taxonomy places the organism in Eukaryota, Metazoa, Arthropoda, Insecta, Hymenoptera, Formicidae.